This 496-nucleotide ribosomal RNA is filed under the name uncultured bacterium. Its description in RNAcentral is "partial 16S ribosomal RNA". It matches the Rfam family "Bacterial small subunit ribosomal RNA", at positions 28 to 506 of the family's 1533-position model. The record is from RNAcentral.
GACGAACGCUGGCGGCGUGCCUAAUACAUGCAAGUCGAACGCUGAAGAGAGGAGCUUGCUCUUCUUGGAUGAGUUGCGAACGGGUGAGUAACGCGUAGGUAACCUGCCUGGUAGCGGGGGAUAACUAUUGGAAACGAUAGCUAAUACCGCAUGAAAUUGCUUAUCGCAUGAUAAUUGAUUGAAAGAUGCAAUUGCAUCACUACCAGAUGGACCUGCGUUGUAUUAGCUAGUUGGUGAGGUAACGGCUCACCAAGGCGACGAUACAUAGCCGACCUGAGAGGGUGAUCGGCCACACUGGGACUGAGACACGGCCCAGACUCCUACGGGAGGCAGCAGUAGGGAAUCUUCGGCAAUGGGGGGAACCCUGACCGAGCAACGCCGCGUGAGUGAAGAAGGUUUUCGGAUCGUAAAGCUCUGUUGUAAGAGAAGAACGGGUGUGAGAGUGGAAAGUUCACACUGUGACGGUAUCUUACCAGAAAGGGACGGCUAACUACGU